AGAGUUUGAUCCUGGCUCAGGAUGAACGCUGGCGGCGCGCCUAACACAUGCAAGUCGAACGGCACCCACCCUCGGGUGGAAGCGAGUGGCGAACGGCUGAGUAACACGUGGAGAACCCGCCCCCUCCUCCGGGAUAGCCUCGGGAAACCGUGGGUAAUACCGGAUGACCCCGGCAGGCCGCAUGGCCGGCCGGGCAAAGCCCAGACGGGAGGGGAUGGCUCCGCGGCCCAUCAGGUAGACGGCGGGGUGACGGCCCACCGUGCCGACGACGGGUAGCCGGGUUGAGAGACCGACCGGCCAGAUUGGGACUGAGACACGGCCCAGACUCCUACGGGAGGCAGCAGUGGGGAAUCUUGCGCAAUGGGGGGAACCCUGACGCAGCGACGCCGCGUGCGGGACGAAGGCCCUCGGGUCGUAAACCGCUUUCAGCAGGGAUGAGACAAGACGGUACCUGCAGAAGAAGCCCCGGCUAACUACGUGCCAGCAGCCGCGGUAAUACGUAGGGGGCGAGCGUUAUCCGGAUUCAUUGGGCGUAAAGCGCGCGUAGGCGGCCCGGCAGGCAGGGGGUCAAAUGGCGGGGCUCAACCCCGUCCCGCCCCCUGAACCGCCGGGCUCGGGUCCGGUAGGGGAGGGUGGAACACCCGGUGUAGCGGUGGAAUGCGCAGAUAUCGGGUGGAACACCGGUGGCGAAGGCGGCCCUCUGGGCCGAGACCGACGCUGAGGCGCGAAAGCUGGGGGAGCGAACAGGAUUAGAUACCCUGGUAGUCCCAGCCGUAAACGAUGGACGCUAGGUGUGGGGGGACGAU
RNAcentral lists this ribosomal RNA (806 nucleotides) under uncultured bacterium. RNAcentral's name for it is "bacterial SSU rRNA". It matches the Rfam family "Bacterial small subunit ribosomal RNA", at positions 8 to 834 of the family's 1533-position model. The record is from RNAcentral.